GAUGAAGAACGCAGCGAAAUGCGAUACUUGGUGUGAAUUGCAGAAUCCCGUGAACCAUCGAGUCUUUGAACGCAAGUUGCGCCCGAAGCCAUUAGGCCGAGGGCACGCCUGCCUGGGCGUCACACGCCGUUGCCCCCCCAUCUACUCCUUCGGGAUUGCGGGGGGCGGAUGAUGGCCUCUCGUGCGCCUCGUCGCGCGGUUGGCCUAAAUGCCAAGUCCUCGGCGACGCACGCCACGACAAUCGGUGGUUGCGAAACCUCGGUUGCCUGUCGUGUGCGGUCGUCGCGCAUCGAGGGCUCGAAAAAAUUGCCGGGCUUCGGCUCGACUUUCAACGCGACCCCAGGUCAGGCGGGGUUACCCGCUGAAUUUAAGCAUAUCAAUAAGCGGAGGA
RNAcentral lists this unclassified non-coding RNA (391 nucleotides) under soil metagenome. RNAcentral describes it as "partial contains 5.8S ribosomal RNA, internal transcribed spacer 2, and large subunit ribosomal RNA". The stretch from base 1 to 122 matches the Rfam family "5.8S ribosomal RNA", at positions 35 to 154 of the family's 154-position model. The record is from RNAcentral.